CCCUUAGAUGUUCUGGGCCGCACGCGCGCUACACUGACGAAGUCAGCGAGCAUGUCCUACGCCGACAGGUGCGGGGAAUCUUAUCAAACUUCGUCGUGAUGGGGAUUGAUUAUUGAAAUUCUUGAUCAUCAACGAGGAAUUCCUAGUAAGCGCAAGUCAGCAGCUUGCGUUGAUUACGUCCCUGCCCUUUGUACACACCGCCCGUCGCUACUACCGAUUGAAUGGUUUAGUGAGAUCUUCGGAUUGGCGCCACUGCGGCUCAGCAAUGGGCUCGGUGGAUGCCGAAAAGUUGAUCAAACUUGAUCAUUUAGAGGAAGUAAAAGUCGUAACA
This 331-nucleotide ribosomal RNA is filed under the name uncultured eukaryote. Its description in RNAcentral is "partial 18S ribosomal RNA". It matches the Rfam family "Eukaryotic small subunit ribosomal RNA", at positions 1470 to 1796 of the family's 1831-position model. The record is from RNAcentral.